CCUACGGGAGGCUGCAGUGAGGAAUAUUGGUCAAUGGGCGGGAGCCUGAACCAGCCAAGCCGCGUGAGGGAAGAAGGUACAGCGUAUCGUAAACCUCUUUUGUCAGGGAACAAAGGCGGGGACUAGUCCCCGGCUGAGGGUACCUGAAGAAAAAGCAUCGGCUAACUCCGUGCAAGCUGCCGCGGUAAUACGGAGGAUGCGAGCGUUGUCCGGAUUUAUUGGGUUUAAAGGGUGCGCAGGCGGCCUGUUAAGUCAGCGGUAAAAGCCCGGGGCUCAACCCCGGCGAGCCGUUGAAACUGGCGGGCUGGAGUGGGAGAGAAGUACGCGGAAUGCGUGGUGUAGCGGUGAAAUGCUUAGAUAUCGCGCAGAACCCCGAUUGCGAAGGCAGCGUACCGGCUCCACACUGACGCUGAGGCACGAAAGCGUGGGUAUCGAACAGGAUUAGAUACCCUUGUAGUC
This 459-nucleotide ribosomal RNA is filed under the name uncultured bacterium. RNAcentral describes it as "partial 16S ribosomal RNA". It matches the Rfam family "Bacterial small subunit ribosomal RNA", at positions 338 to 795 of the family's 1533-position model. The record is from RNAcentral.